This is a non-coding RNA of Ictidomys tridecemlineatus (thirteen-lined ground squirrel), 350 nucleotides long. NCBI's taxonomy places the organism in Eukaryota, Metazoa, Chordata, Mammalia, Rodentia, Sciuridae. The record is from RefSeq and is a predicted model, not a curated record.
GUUCUCCUUAUCAGCAAGGAGGAGCCUUUCAGGUCUGUAUUUCUCUUGUAGAUACCAGGAUGUUUGCUGAGGAAUGUAAUACAUCCUAUGGACUUAAUCCAGGCAGGGCUACAGAUUCUUCCAGAACCCGAUAUUUUCUUCUGCUAAAACACUGAUCAUGUGGAAUGACAAAUUCAUCAGUUCCCAAAUCUCUCCCACUAAGACCAUGAACUCCAGGGAAAUGCAUCCAAUUCAUCUCUGCCCCAGUUGAAGAAGUGCCCAGUGAAAGUUGAGGCGCGACAGAACAGAAGAAUAAACAAGGAGAAGGAAAUGAGUUCACAGGAGAGCAAUGAAAUGCUUGGGUGUGUGGA